This 253-nucleotide ribosomal RNA is filed under the name uncultured bacterium. RNAcentral describes it as "partial 16S ribosomal RNA". It matches the Rfam family "Bacterial small subunit ribosomal RNA", at positions 524 to 776 of the family's 1533-position model. The record is from RNAcentral.
UACGGAGGGGGCAAGCGUUGUUCGGAAUUACUGGGCGUAAAGGGCGCGUAGGCGGUCUGUUGCGUCGAACGUGAAAUCCCCGGGCUCAACCCGGGAACUGCGUCCGAUACUGGCAGGCUUGAAUCCGGGAGAGGGAUGCGGAAUUCCAGGUGUAGCGGUGAAAUGCGUAGAUAUCUGGAGGAACACCGGUGGCGAAGGCGGCAUCCUGGACCGGUAUUGACGCUGAGGCGCGAAAGCCAGGGGAGCAAACGGG